UACAGAGGUGGCGAGCGUUAUUCGGUAUUAUUGGGCGUAAAGGGCGCGUAGGCGGCCCAUUAAGUCAAAGGUGAAAUCCCUCGGCUCAACCGAGGACGUGCCUUUGAUACUGCGGGGCUCGAGGCCGGGAGAGGGUAGUGGAAUUCCCAGUGUAGCGGUGAAAUGCGUAGAUAUUGGGAAGAACACCAGUGGCGAAGGCGGCUGCCUGGACCGGUUCUGACGCUGAGGCGCGAAAGCGUGGGGAGCAAACAGG
Molecule: ribosomal RNA, 253 nt
Filed under: uncultured bacterium
Lineage: Bacteria
Description: partial 16S ribosomal RNA
Rfam family: Bacterial small subunit ribosomal RNA
Source: RNAcentral